This 253-nucleotide ribosomal RNA is filed under the name uncultured bacterium. RNAcentral describes it as "partial 16S ribosomal RNA". It matches the Rfam family "Bacterial small subunit ribosomal RNA", at positions 524 to 776 of the family's 1533-position model. The record is from RNAcentral.
UACAGAGGUGGCAAGCGUUGUUCGGAAUUAUUGGGCGUAAAGGGCGCGUAGGCGGCCCGUCAAGUCCCGUGUGAAAGCCCCCGGCUCAACCGGGGAACUGCACGGGAAACUAGCAGGCUUGAGUUCGGGAGAGGGAAGCGGAAUUUCGGGUGUAGCGGUGAAAUGCGCAGAUAUCCGAAGGAACACCGGUGGCGAAGGCGGCGUCCUGGACCGACACUGACGCUGAGGCGCGAAAGCCAGGGGAGCAAACGGG